Molecule: ribosomal RNA, 490 nt
Filed under: uncultured bacterium
Lineage: Bacteria
Description: partial 16S ribosomal RNA
Rfam family: Bacterial small subunit ribosomal RNA
Source: RNAcentral
AGUGAACGCUGGCGGUAGGCCUAACACAUGCAAGUCGAACGGCAGCACAGGAGAGCUUGCUCUCUGGGUGGCGAGUGGCGGACGGGUGAGGAAUACAUCGGAAUCUGCCCAGUCGUGGGGGAUAACGUAGGGAAACUUACGCUAAUACCGCAUACGACCUUCGGGUGAAAGAGGGGGAUCGCAAGACCUCUCGCGAUUGGAUGAGCCGAUGUCGGAUUAGCUAGUUGGUGGGGUAAUGGCCCACCAAGGCGACGAUCCGUAGCUGGUCUGAGAGGAUGAUCAGCCACACUGGAACUGAGACACGGUCCAGACUCCUACGGGAGGCAGCAGUGGGGAAUAUUGGACAAUGGGCGCAAGCCUGAUCCAGCCAUACCGCGUGGGUGAAGAAGGCCUUCGGGUUGUAAAGCCCUUUUGUUGGGAAAGAAAUCUUUCAGGCUAAUACCCUGGGAGGAUGACGGUACCCAAAGAAUAAGCACCGGCUAACUUCGUG